GGGUAGGAUUAGGGUCUGUGUUUUACCUAGGGUAGGGUCUGUGUUUUACCUAGGGUAGGGUUAGGGUCUGUGUUUUACGUAGGGUAGGGUAGGGUCUGUGUGUUACGUAGGGUCUGUGUUUAACGUAGGGUAGGGUUAGGGUCUGUGUUUUACCUAGGGUAGGGUCUGUGUUUUACCUAGGGUAGGGUUAGGGUCUGUGUUUCACGUAGGGUAGGGUAGGGUCUGUGAUUUACGUAGGGUCUGUGUUUUACGUAGGGUAGGGUCUGUGUGUUACAUAGGGUCUGUGUUUAACGUAGGGUAGGGUUAGGAUCUGUGUUUUACGUAGGGUAGGGUUAGGGUCUGUGUUUUACGUAGGGUAGGGUUAGGGUCUGUGUUUUACGUAGGGUAGGGUUAGGGUCUGUGUUUUACGUAGGGUAGGGUUAGGGUCUGUGUUUUACGUAGGGUAGGUUUAGGGUCUGUGUUUUACGUAGGGUAGGGUUAGGGUCUGUGUUUUACGUAGGGUAGGGUUAGGGUCUGUGUUUUACGUAGGGUAGGGUUAGGGUCUGUGUUUUACGUAGGGUAGGGUUAAGGUCUGUGUUUUACGUAGGGUAGGGUUAAGGUCUGUGUUUUACCUAGGGUAGGGUUAGGGUCUGUGUUUUACCUAGGGUAGGGUUAGGGUCUGUGUUUUACCUAGGGUAGGGUUAGGGUCUGUGUUUUACCUAGGGUAGGGUUAGGGUCUGUGUUUUACCUAGGGUAGGGUUAGGGUCUGUGUUUUACCUAGGGUAGGGUUAGGGUCUGUGUUUUACCGAGGGUAGGGUUAGGGUCUGUGUUUUACCGAGGGUAGGGUUAGGGUCUGUGUUUUACCGAGGGUAGGGUCUGUGUAUUACG
Long non-coding RNA from Oncorhynchus masou masou (cherry salmon), 867 nucleotides. RefSeq lists it as uncharacterized. The transcript has 3 exons. NCBI's taxonomy places the organism in Eukaryota, Metazoa, Chordata, Actinopteri, Salmoniformes, Salmonidae. The record is from RefSeq and is a predicted model, not a curated record.